Molecule: small nucleolar RNA, 139 nt
Organism: Juglans regia (Persian walnut)
Lineage: Eukaryota; Viridiplantae; Streptophyta; Magnoliopsida; Fagales; Juglandaceae
Product: small nucleolar RNA Z247
Exons: 1
Source: RefSeq, a predicted model, not a curated record
CCUCUCAAAAGUGAUGAUAUAAUCACCUAUGUUCUUGCAGGACUUGGCCAGGAAUAUGAUUCCUUGGCCUCCACAAUUACCUCAAGACCUGAUCCUGUCAACUUGGAGGAACUCUACUCCCUACUUCUCAUCUAUGAAU